Molecule: ribosomal RNA, 460 nt
Filed under: uncultured bacterium
Lineage: Bacteria
Description: partial 16S ribosomal RNA
Rfam family: Bacterial small subunit ribosomal RNA
Source: RNAcentral
CCUACGGGUGGCAGCAGUGAGGAAUAUUGGUCAAUGGACGAGAGUCUGAACCAGCCAAGUAGCGUGAAGUAUGACUGCCCUAUGGGUUGUAAACUUCUUUUAUAAAGGAAUAAAACGAGGCACGUGUGCCUUUUUGCACGUCCUUUAUGAAUAAGGAUCGGCUAACGCCGUGACAGCAGCCGCGGUAAUUCGGAGGAUCCGAGCGUUGUCCGGUUUUAGUGGGUUUAAAGGGAGCGUAGAUGGGUUGGUAAGUAAGUUGUGAAAGUUUUAGGCUCAACCGUAAAAUUGCAAUUGAUACUGGCAGUCUUGAGUACAGGUGAGGUAGGCGGAAUUCGUGGUGUAGCGGUGAAAUGCGUAGAUAUCACGAAGAACCCCGAUUGCGAAGGCAGCUUACUAAACUGUGACUGACAUUGAUGCUCGAAAGUGUGGGUAGCAAACAGGAUUAGAUACCCUGGUAGUC